This 554-nucleotide ribosomal RNA is filed under the name uncultured bacterium. Its description in RNAcentral is "bacterial SSU rRNA". It matches the Rfam family "Bacterial small subunit ribosomal RNA", at positions 326 to 896 of the family's 1533-position model. The record is from RNAcentral.
ACGGUCCAGACUCCUACGGGAGGCAGCAGUGGGGAAUAUUGCACAAUGGGCGAAAGCCUGAUGCAGCAACGCCGCGUGAGUGAUGAAGGCCUUCGGGUUGUAAAGCUCUGUCUUUGGGGACGAUAAUGACGGUACCCAAGGAGGAAGCCACGGCUAACUACGUGCCAGCAGCCGCGGUAAUACGUAGGUGGCAAGCGUUGUCCGGAUUUACUGGGCGUAAAGGAUGCGUAGGUGGAUAUUUAAGUCAGAUGUGAAAUACCCGAGCUCAACUUGGGUGCUGCAUUUGAAACUGGAUAUCUAGAGUGCAGGAGAGGUAAGUGGAAUUCCUAGUGUAGCGGUGAAAUGCGUAGAGAUUAGGAAGAACACCAGUGGCGAAGGCGACUUACUGGACUGUAACUGACACUGAGGCAUGAAAGCGUGGGGAGCAAACAGGAUUAGAUACCCUGGUAGUCCACGCCGUAAACGAUGAGUACUAGGUGUAGGGGGUAUCGACUCCCUCUGUGCCGCAGUUAACACAAUAAGUACUCCGCCUGGGAAGUACGGUCGCAAGAUUA